This 789-nucleotide ribosomal RNA is filed under the name uncultured prokaryote. Its description in RNAcentral is "bacterial SSU rRNA". It matches the Rfam family "Bacterial small subunit ribosomal RNA", at positions 8 to 796 of the family's 1533-position model. The record is from RNAcentral.
AGAGUUUGAUCCUGGCUCAGGAUGAACGCUAGCGGCAGGCUUAACACAUGCAAGUCGAGGGGUAGAGGAAGCUUGCUUCCUUGAGACCGGCGCACGGGUGCGUAACGCGUAUGCAACCUACCUUUUACAGAGGGAUAGCCCAGAGAAAUUUGGAUUAAUACCUCAUGGUAUAUAUCAUUCGCAUGUUUGAUAUAUUAAAGUUCCAACGGUAAAAGAUGGGCAUGCGUCCUAUUAGCUAGAUGGUAAGGUAACGGCUUACCAUGGCAACGAUAGGUAGGGGUCCUGAGAGGGAGAUCCCCCACACUGGUACUGAGACACGGACCAGACUCCUACGGGAGGCAGCAGUGAGGAAUAUUGGACAAUGGGCGCAAGCCUGAUCCAGCCAUGCCGCGUGCAGGAAGAAGCAUCUAUGGUGUGUAAACUGCUUUUGUACGGGAAGAAACACUCCUUCGUGAAGGAGCUUGACGGUACCGUAAGAAUAAGGAUCGGCUAACUCCGUGCCAGCAGCCGCGGUAAUACGGAGGAUCCAAGCGUUAUCCGGAAUCAUUGGGUUUAAAGGGUCCGUAGGCGGUUUGGUAAGUCAGUGGUGAAAGCCCGCAGCUCAACUGUGGAACGGCCAUUGAUACUGCCAGACUUGAAUUACAAGGAAGUAACUAGAAUAUGUAGUGUAGCGGUGAAAUGCUUAGAUAUUACAUGGAAUACCAAUUGCGAAGGCAGGUUACUACUUGUGGAUUGACGCUGAUGGACGAAAGCGUGGGGAGCGAACAGGAUUAGAUACCCUGGUAGUCC